Long non-coding RNA from Branchiostoma floridae (Florida lancelet), 1146 nucleotides. RefSeq lists it as uncharacterized. Lineage: Eukaryota; Metazoa; Chordata; Leptocardii; Amphioxiformes; Branchiostomatidae. The transcript has 2 exons. The record is from RefSeq and is a predicted model, not a curated record.
UUGUGUGGAAAGUAGGUUGGACGUUAUUUGUUGGGAGGAAAAGUGGGAGGAGAGAAGGGUGGACCUUAUUGGGUAUUUACAUGUUAGAUCAACCCAAAGGCGGAGCACAGAGAUAGGGAAGAGCAUUCGAGAACUUUUGAGUGAACACAAAAGACCCUCCAGUGAUGGGAGCAGACGUACUGGAUGGGAGCAGACGUAAUCAGGCGUCUAGUCUAUCAUCGUUCAGGCAAUCUUUGGCCGAGUUUUCUUGGGGACAGACGGACACAGAACAGCACAAAAGGAAUUACAACAUAUGAAGGAUGGGAAGAUGACCCCACCAGACCCCACAGCUUGUCAUGAGAACAAGUUACACAGACGGAUGCUGUUCAAACAGUUUUCCUGAACAGCGAGGUUUGUUACCCUUUUGUUCUUAUUGCUCAUAUAGUUUGAGUAUCCAAAGUCAUAGAGGUAACAGUGGGCAGAAUGGUGGGUUAAAAAUGGACCUUUAAAGGCACAAGGGGGCUUAAAUGCACAAACAUCGGGAGCAUUGAAAACUAGUACAAACCUAUGAGUGGAUGUUGGGUGUUGGUUGAUCUACUAUACUGGGCACUUAGUUUUUUCGAACCUUUAUUUAUUGAUUAUGUGAAAAAAGACAUUUGACAGCUAAGCAAUCUAAAGAAACCCAUAGGGAUUCAUUCAUGUUGACAUAUUGAUCAUGGAAUAUGUUUGUGUCCGUCAACUAUACCUAACCUGUUCUAUAUUAUUUCUUUCAGUUCUACAAGGCGACAACGACAACAGUCACAAGAAAUUAAUAGUUGAACUUGGACGGCAAUCAGAUUGAUAGUAACCGUAGCUUUACAAUGCAUCACAAUCUAUCACCUCAACGAAACGGAAGUCAAUGCACAUGUAGUCAGGCUUGACUCUAUAGUUCCAGGAAUUUUGUCAGCAUGCAAACAAUUUAUUAUACGGUCAACAGAAUUACAAAAGAAAUGUUUUGCUUGAAUGUAUUACCAAGUGUCAUUGUUAUAGAAGUAAAUCCAAAGUUAUAAGAAUGACGCAUCUUUGCCAUGUUCUGCCAGGUUUUUACAUUCUCUGUGUUUGUGUCUUGAGAUAUGGUAAAAGUAUAUAUGAUGUGUAUGUUGAUGAAAUAAAAGGUAUAGGCAAUUG